Hippopotamus amphibius kiboko is the source of this 778-nucleotide long non-coding RNA. RefSeq lists it as uncharacterized. NCBI's taxonomy places the organism in Eukaryota, Metazoa, Chordata, Mammalia, Artiodactyla, Hippopotamidae. The record is from RefSeq and is a predicted model, not a curated record. The transcript has 3 exons.
UGUCUCCGUGGGCUCGACCCGCCGCCGGCCCUCUCAGGAGCCGAGCUGUGCACCGUGCACCCUGCACCCUGAGGUUUGCGCACUGAUCCCCCCACGUUGAGGUCUGACGCGCCUGGUGGUGUCAAUCCCCCACCACUUCCUGCUCAGCCUGCUCUGGAGCCCCCAGCGGUCCCGGAGGUGGGACCCUACCAGUGCCAGGGCUGCCCAGCUGCAGCUGAAUCAGAGUGGCCGCAGGCAUGGGGCCUGGGGCGCCUGCGUGUCCGCUGGAGUCUGGGUCACCACGCAGGCCGCGGUGACCGGACAGCAGUGGGGAGGAGACACACCUGCACAGCUGGCCCUCCACCAUUCUUCAGGUCGGGGAGUGGCGAAUCCCGCCUACUUCAUCAGAGCUGCCACUCCAGUCAGACGAGAAAAACAGCCCUAGUACUGACCAUCGUCCUGGCAAAGGAGGAAGAUUAUGACCCAGGAAUCCACUUUAGCAAAUAACAGUUGAUGCUGCAACGUGUUUUUAUCCAUGAAGAUUUCGGAGAGACUGUUCCCUUAAAGAGAUGGAGAAGUGGAAUUGCUGGGUCAGAGGAUGAAAGGGUGUUCCUGUUUUUUAAAAAGGCAGCAUCUCAGAGAAUCCACCGAGGCAGAGAAACCACCACCCAGGUGUUCUGGGCUGCGCGCUUUCCCACGCCCUCACCUUCCUCAGCCCCUCCCACCCCCACCCCCGCCAACUUUUUAUUAAUUUAGUGGAAGAAAAGUUUAUACGGCAUUUCCUCUAUGACCCAUGAGG